GGAAGGAUCAUUAUCAAACAUGGAAUAUCUUAUUCUUAAACCCACUCUGAGUACCUGUACUUGUUGCUUCCAUGGGCAGUGAACAGUAUGUUUGCGCCUGCCCAUAUGGUGGACCCAUGGGAGAUAUCAUUAAACCCUGCAUUUCGUGAUGCCAGUCUGAUCAUGUUUAUUCAUUAAACGUUAAAACUUUCAACAACGGAUCUCUUGGUUCUCGCAUCGAUGAAGAACGCAGCGAAAUGCGAUAAGUAGUGUGAAUUGCAGAAUUCCGUGAAUCAUCGAAUCUUUGAACGCACAUUGCGCCUCCUGGCGUUCCGGGAGGCAUGCCUGUUCGAGCGUCAUAAAAAAAACCUCAAGCUUGAAUUCAUUCAUGACUUGGUAUUGGUAUUGGGGUGGACUUGAGCCAUUCCUAUCCGAAAUUCAAUGGCAAGGUUGUCUGUACCAACAAGUGUAGUAAUCGACAUUAUGUUUCACCGUUGUACAGAUCAACAUUCGCCGUUAACCCCUCAUUUCAAGUGUUUGACCUCGGAUCAGGCAGGGAUACCCGCUGAACUUAAGCAUAUCAAUAAGCGGAGGAAAAGAAACCAACAGGGAUUGCCUUAGUAACUGCGAGUGAAGCGGCAAAAGCUCAAAUUUUAAAUCUGGCAUCUUCGGUGUCCGAGUUGUAAUUUGGAGAGAUAUCUUCGGUUUGAACGCCGUCCGAAGUUCCUUGGAACAGGACGUCACAGAGGGUGAGAAUCCCGUAUGUGGAUGGCUGUUUCUUUCCAUGUGAAGUGUCUUCGACGAGUCGAGUUGUUUGGGAAUGCAGCUCAAAAUGGGUGGUAAAUGUCAUCUAAAGCUAAAUAUUGGCGAGAGACCGAUAGCGCACAAGUAGAGUGAUCGAAAGAUGAAAAGCACUUUGAAAAGAGAGUUAAAAAGUACGUGAAAUUGUUGAAAGGGAAGCGCUUGAGACCAGACUCAAUCUGUGGUGAUCAACAGUGCUUUUGUACUGUGCACUUGCCACUGUUUGGGACAGCAUCGGUUUGGAUGACGGGAUAAAGACCUGAGGAACGUAGCUCUCUUCGGGGAGUGUUAUAGCCACAGGUGUAAUGCUGUCAAUCCAGACCGAGGACCGCGCUUCUGCUAGGAUGCUGUCAUAAUGGUCUUCAGCGACCCGUCUUGAAACACGGACCAAGGAGUCUAACAUCUAUGCGAGUGUUCGGGUGGAAAACCCUUGCGCGAAAUGAAAGUGAACGGAGGUGGGAACCUUUCAGGGGCACCAUCGACCGAUCCUGAUGUUUUCGGAUGGAUUUGAGUAAGAGCAUAGCUGUUAGGACCCGAAAGAUGGUGAACUAUGCCUGAAUAGGGUGAAGCCAGAGGAAACUCUGGUGGAGGCUCGCAGCGGUUCUGACGUGCAAAUCGAUCGUCAAAUUUGGGUAUAGGGGCGAAAGACUAAUCGAACCAUCUAGUAG
RNAcentral lists this ribosomal RNA (1448 nucleotides) under uncultured fungus. RNAcentral describes it as "eukaryotic LSU rRNA". The stretch from base 518 to 1448 matches the Rfam family "Eukaryotic large subunit ribosomal RNA", at positions 1 to 950 of the family's 3401-position model. Lineage: Eukaryota; Fungi. The record is from RNAcentral.